This 421-nucleotide ribosomal RNA is filed under the name Fusobacteriota bacterium. RNAcentral's name for it is "Fusobacteria bacterium partial 16S ribosomal RNA". It matches the Rfam family "Bacterial small subunit ribosomal RNA", at positions 355 to 776 of the family's 1533-position model. Lineage: Bacteria; Fusobacteriati; Fusobacteriota. The record is from RNAcentral.
UGGGGAAUAUUGCACAAUGGACGGAAGUUUGAUGCAGCGACGCCGCGUGGAGGGUGUAGGCCUUCGGGUUGUGAACUCCUUUUUCUCGCGAAAAAGGCACAGUUUUGGCUGUGUUGAUGGUAGUGGGGGAAGAAGCGCCGGCUAACUACGUGCCAGCAGCCGCGGUAAUACGUAGGGCGCGAGCGUUGUCCGGAUUUAUUGGGCGUAAAGAGCUCGUAGGUGGUUCGUCGCGUCUGUCGUGAAAGCCAGCAGCUUAACUGUUGGUCUGCGGUGGGUACGGGCGGGCUUGAGUGCGGUAGUGGUGACUGGAAUUCCUGGUGUAGCGGUGGAAUGCGCAGAUAUCAGGAGGAACACCGAUGGCGAAGGCAGGUCACUGGGCCGUUACUGACACUGAGGAGCGAAAGCGUGGGGAGCGAACAGG